AUCAGGCCGGCCCUCCGUGUUGUAUCUACAGGGCUGGAGGGAUAUUAACGCAGAUAUUCUGGAUUUGCUCAACUGGGAAAUUCAAAUUUAAGCCACAUGGCCUCAUUGGAAAUAUUCAACCUUUCAGCUAUCUUGGCUUUAAAUUGGCAAAUUGGCAAUUCCUGGCAGUCCUGUUUAGUGAAUACAUGGUUUAUGGUGUUU
Molecule: non-coding RNA, 201 nt
Organism: Pelobates cultripes (western spadefoot toad)
Lineage: Eukaryota; Metazoa; Chordata; Amphibia; Anura; Pelobatidae
Source: the annotation of a GenBank genome assembly